This 495-nucleotide ribosomal RNA is filed under the name uncultured bacterium. Its description in RNAcentral is "bacterial SSU rRNA". It matches the Rfam family "Bacterial small subunit ribosomal RNA", at positions 29 to 518 of the family's 1533-position model. The record is from RNAcentral.
AUUGAACGCUGGCGGCAUGCCUUACACAUGCAAGUCGAACGGCAGCGCGGGAGCAAUCCUGGCGGCGAGUGGCGAACGGGUGAGUAAUAUAUCGGAACGUGCCCAGUAGUGGGGGAUAGCCCGGCGAAAGCCGGAUUAAUACCGCAUGAGACCUGAGGGUGAAAGCGGGGGAUCGCAAGACCUCGCGCUAUUGGAGCGGCCGAUAUCAGAUUAGGUAGUUGGUGGGGUAAAGGCCUACCAAGCCUGCGAUCUGUAGCUGGUCUGAGAGGACGACCAGCCACACUGGGACUGAGACACGGUCCAGACUCCUACGGGAGGCAGCAGUGGGGAAUCUUGCGCAAUGGGGGCAACCCUGAUCCAGCCAUGCCGCGUGAGUGAAGAAGGCCCUCGGGUUGUAAAGCUCUUUUGUCCGGAAAGAAAAGCAUCUGGUUAAUACCCGGGUGUUCUGACGGUACCGGAAGAAUAAGCACCGGCUAACUUCGUGCCAGCAGCCGA